This 205-nucleotide long non-coding RNA is filed under the name Suricata suricatta (meerkat). Its description in RNAcentral is "lncRNA (ENSSSUG00005016501.1)". Lineage: Eukaryota; Metazoa; Chordata; Mammalia; Carnivora; Herpestidae. The record is from RNAcentral.
UUCUGUCUGAUUAAAAAUGUUAUUUACUAGAUGUAGACUUAAAUAUCUGUUUUUUUUUAAUUUUUAUAGGUCAAUCCGGAGAUCUAUGUCUGAAAGCAAAGGAUUUGAAAGGAAAAUGGUGAAUGACACAAUCUGGCAAGAACCCACCAAGCCAGAGAAUGAUUCCCACAUCAGAAGGCUCUGUCAGCGAAAAGGUAAUUGCUAA